AAACAAACAUGGCAUCCACAUGGUUUAUGAGAAUUCUAGCACUKGUUUUUGAACACAGUUAGAGUAAUAUUUAAAUACACGAGUGCAUACACUACUACUGACGUCAUGCACUUAAAGAGAAAACUUGCAUGCGUGACAAGACAAAUAAGUCGCUCGAUCGUAACAUACUAAACGACACACCUCGAUAAACCAAGGUACGAAUCGAACCUCGGCAAGGCAACGUUUCGUCAGUUCAAGGAAUCAGUAACUUAAUUUGAUAACCUAGAGCGCGUUUAAAAAUUGAGAACAUCAUCAAGAAUGGGCUCUGGAAGCAGCAAGAAAAAGAAGCUUAGAGUGGUGACUGCUGAGCAGAAAUGGAAAAAAAAAGAAAGGCAAGAUAAAGGCAACAAAUUAUAGUCGUGAAGAGGAGGCCAUAAGAAACGAUGAUGAAGAAGAAAAGAAAAAGAAGGCAGUUAAAGAUGAA
Actinia tenebrosa (Australian red waratah sea anemone) is the source of this 463-nucleotide long non-coding RNA. NCBI's taxonomy places the organism in Eukaryota, Metazoa, Cnidaria, Anthozoa, Actiniaria, Actiniidae. The record is from RefSeq and is a predicted model, not a curated record.